Molecule: ribosomal RNA, 253 nt
Filed under: uncultured bacterium
Lineage: Bacteria
Description: partial 16S ribosomal RNA
Rfam family: Bacterial small subunit ribosomal RNA
Source: RNAcentral
UACGGAGGGAGCUAGCGUUGUUCGGAAUUACUGGGCGUAAAGCGCGCGUAGGCGGCUUUGUAAGUUAGAGGUGAAAUCCCGGGGCUCAACCUCGGAACUGCCUUUGAUACUGCAAAUCUCGAGUCCGGAAGAGGUGAGUGGAAUUCCUAGUGUAGAGGUGAAAUUCGUAGAUAUUAGGAAGAACACCAGUGGCGAAGGCGGCUCACUGGUCCGGUACUGACGCUGAGGUGCGAAAGCGUGGGGAGCAAACAGG